GCAAGUAUUUUGAGGGAAUUGAAGGUGUAGCCAACAUUAAAGAUGGUUACAACCCAGCAACUUGGAUGUUGGAAGUUUCUAGCUCUGCACAAGAGUUAUCUUUGGGGGUUGAUUUUGCUAACAUUUACAGGAAUUCAGAUCUUUACAGGAGAAACAAAGCAAUGAUUCAGGAGUUAAGCAAGCCUGCUCCUGGUACAAAGGAUCUCUAUUUCCCUACACAAUACUCGCAACCCUUUUUAACCCAAUGUAUGGCUUGCUUGUGGAAGCAAUCUUGGUCAUACUGGAGGAAUCCACCAUAUACAGGCGUAAGAUUUUGGUUCACAACCUUUAUUGCCUUGAUGUUUGGGACAAUUUUCUGGGACCUUGGCUCCAAAUUGGAAAAGGAAGGAGAUCUUUCCAAUGCAAUGGGUUCAAUGUACGUAGCUGUUCUUUUCCUUGGGGUGCAAAAUUCAUCAUCUGUGCAGCCAGUUGUUGCUAUUGAAAGAACAGUCUUUUACAGAGAGAAAGCUGCUGGAAUGUAUUCUGCCAUGCCCUAUGCCUAUGCACAGGCCUUGAUUGAGCUUCCCUAUAUUUUUACUCAAGCUGGAGUCUACAGUCUUAUAACAUAUGCAAUGAUUGGUUUUGAAUGGACUGCUGCCAAGUUCUUCUGGUAUCUAUUCUUCUUGUACUUCACAUUGUUGUACUUCACCUAUUAUGGAAUGAUGGCUGUCGCCGUGACGCCAAACCACCACAUUGCAUCCAUAAUAUCCUCAGCAUUCUACGCAAUAUGGAAUCUAUUUGCAGGAUUCAUUGUUCCAAGACCUAAAAUGCCUGUGUGGUGGAGAUGGUACUACUGGGGAUGUCCAAUAUCAUGGACCCUGUAUGGAUUAUUUGCAUCACAGUUUGGUGAUAUAACUAAACCGCUCGGGGAGACUGGUAAAACAGUUGAGCAAUAUGUGAGUGACUUUUAUGGUAUUAAGCAUAACUUUCUGGGAGCAUGUGCUGGUGUUAUUAUUGGAAUCGACACACUCUUUGCAGUUAUUUUUGCCAUUUCCAUCAAGGCCUUCAAUUUCCAGAGGCGGUAGAAAUUUGCUUUGCUUUGCUCUUCUUUCAACUUAGGCUAUUAUAAAGGUUUUGUUCUAUCAACAAGAUGAGCAAGUAGUGAAGAACAAACUUGUCCAAGUUCUUGUAUAUUUUUCUUAUUUUAUUUUUAAAUAUCAUGUAAUGGUUGCAACUUCAUAGGCUUUAACUACUUGCAUACAAGUAGAAAGCUGCAAAGUUACAGUAUGUUAGCAAGUGCAAUAUUUAUUAAAUUACAUUUUUUUUUACUUUA
This 1312-nucleotide unclassified non-coding RNA is filed under the name Hevea brasiliensis (rubber tree). Lineage: Eukaryota; Viridiplantae; Streptophyta; Magnoliopsida; Malpighiales; Euphorbiaceae. The record is from RNAcentral.